This 459-nucleotide ribosomal RNA is filed under the name uncultured bacterium. RNAcentral's name for it is "bacterial SSU rRNA". It matches the Rfam family "Bacterial small subunit ribosomal RNA", at positions 355 to 804 of the family's 1533-position model. The record is from RNAcentral.
UGGGGAAUAUUGGACAAUGGGCGAAAGCCUGAUCCAGCAAUGCCGCGUGCAGGAAGAAGGCCUUCGGGUUGUAAACUGCUUUUGUACGGAACGAAAAGGCUCUUUCUAAUAAAGAGGGCCCAUGACGGUACCGUAAGAAUAAGCACCGGCUAACUACGUGCCAGCAGCCGCGGUAAUACGUAGGGUGCGAGCGUUAAUCGGAAUUACUGGGCGUAAAGCGUGCGCAGGCGGUUCUAUAAGACAGAUGUGAAAUCCCCGGGCUCAACCUGGGAAUGGCAUUCGUGACUGUAGAGCUGGAGUACGGUAGAGGGGGAUGGAAUUCCGCGUGUAGCAGUGAAAUGCGUAGAUAUGCGGAGGAACACCGAUGGCGAAGGCAAUCCCCUGGACCUGUACUGACGCUCAUGCACGAAAGCGUGGGGAGCAAACAGGAUUAGAUACCCCAGUAGUCCCUGAGCGGGC